This is a long non-coding RNA of Bombyx mori (domestic silkworm), 755 nucleotides long. RefSeq lists it as uncharacterized. The record is from RefSeq and is a predicted model, not a curated record. NCBI's taxonomy places the organism in Eukaryota, Metazoa, Arthropoda, Insecta, Lepidoptera, Bombycidae. The transcript has 2 exons.
UUUUGUAGUUAAGGUUAGAAAUUAUUAAAAAGUGAAAAAGAGUACAUACCAUGUUCUAAUUUAGCGCCCCGAUCCUACAUACACAUACAACAUUGUAUUCAUUUUAUGAUUAGAAAUUUUAAAAUUACGUAAGAAAUAUACGCACUGUGGCUUUUUUAUAGCUGAGCAACAUUUAUUCGCUAGGACCUAUACACUAACUCGAAGAAGUCAGUAAGCGACUGAUAUGAAAAAAAAAAAAAACUGAAAUAUAUUCAAUUAAAAAACCGACUUUUCUGCUUAGCGUCCUUUGGGACUGGAAAAUCUGAUGAAUCAGUACUUCAACAUAAUUUGAGAAUAAAAAAACCUGCUCUAAGCAAAAUUAAUUCAAGCGAAAUUUUUUACAUUUACUUCCGGAACUUAUUCAGCGCGUUCGGAGAAAAAUCAUGUCACCUUUUAGACAACGUAAUUAUUUUUCACAUCCGCUUAUGUCACAUGGUCGGCAUUUUUGUCGACUAAUUAACAUUCACGGUUGAACCGGGCAAAGCUUAUCGCAAAAUUCGGUUGCACGAGGGAAUUUUCGUGUCGAAUUAAUUUUACCAAACGAAUUUAGAUUACAUUAAUAAUUCCGUGUAUUGUGUGACAUUUUAGUAUCGUUUUGCACAAAUAUAAUACGAGUAAUAGUGGUUUUAAUAAUUAACUUUCAUGAUAUCCUCUAUGAAUAAUGUUUAAAUACAUAAGUAAAUAAAUAAUGAGAGAUACUUCCUCAACUACCCUGC